Molecule: ribosomal RNA, 253 nt
Filed under: uncultured bacterium
Lineage: Bacteria
Description: partial 16S ribosomal RNA
Rfam family: Bacterial small subunit ribosomal RNA
Source: RNAcentral
UACGUAGGGGGCAAGCGUUGUCCGGAAUCAUUGGGCGUAAAGCGCGUGUAGGCGGCCCGGUAAGUCCGCUGUGAAAGUCGGGGGCUCAACCCUCGAAUGCCGGUGGAUACUGUCGGGCUAGAGUGCGGAAGAGGCGAGUGGAAUUCCUGGUGUAGCGGUGAAAUGCGCAGAUAUCAGGAGGAACACCAAUUGCGAAGGCAGCUCGCUGGAACGUUACUGACGCUGAGACGCGAAAGCGUGGGGAGCAAACAGG